UUGCAUUCCUAUUUUUAUCUCACCAAUAUUCCAUGUUACGAAACUGUACUUCUUCGUUAUGUAUCCGGGCUUAUAUACCUUGUGAUAGUUUAAAGUUAUCGGUGAGAAAGUGAAAAUAACGAUCAGUAUAAUUAUGCGAAUGAAUUAUAACGUAUAUUGCAUCACUAAAUGUGGAAAGUUUGAUAACACUUGGAAUACAUUAGUUUUUAUGAAAAGGUAAAGUUAACUAACAGUCAUCAAUCCUAUAGUGAAUAUGAAAUUGAGAUAACGGCAUACAUGGACCACUAGAAACACCAGAACGGUGAUGAGGUGUCAUGGACGUAGACCACAUGUUGUCCGCCCGAUACUAUAAACUAUAUUCAGAACCAUUCACGUGAUUGUAAUGUUAUUUCAUAUGUGGGUUUGUUCUGAGUAGAAAAGGUCCCUAUUAAUUUUGAGGUCAUAGGAGCAAAGGUCACAACGGGUAUAGGAAGAUACUGUCCGCUCAAUAUUUUGAGAAGCCUUUGCUUGACAUUCAUCAAUUCUAAUACACUAGUUCAUCUUAAGAAUUAAAUUAUCCUUAUCCAUUUUGAGGUCACAUGGUCAAGGGUUAAUCCACUAUGGAUAUAGGAAAAUACUGUCCACUUAAUAUCUUGAGAACUCUUUGCUUGACAGACAUCAGACUUCGUACAAUGGUAUAUCGUAAGAAAAAUGUUGGUCAAAUGCCAAAGGUCAAACUGGUCAUAGUAAUAUAUUAUUGGCUCCUAUGUUUUAAGAAUCAUUUGCUUGAUUGAUACCAAACUUGGUACACUGGUAGGGAGUAGAUGUCCCCCAUUGAUUGUGAGGCAACAUGGUGAAAGACCAAGCCACUCUAGACAUAGGAAUAUAUUGUCCACUCAGUAUCUUGAAUUGUUUUGGUACUACCAUCAAUAAAAUGAAAGAUGUGUAUAACCCUUUUCAAUUUUGCAUUAAGUGGGACAAACAUGUUUCUGCAACAUUUUUUGUUUAAUUUCAAUUUUGUCAUGUGUAAUAUUAUAUAGAUAGUACAUCUAAGUUAGAGCAACGUUGGAAAUUGUCAACCCGCAAAAACCAUUGUCGACCGAAGUGAAGCCGGGGUUGACAGUGGUUUUUCGACGGGUAACAUUUUCCAAUUUCACCCUUGCUCGCAUGCAGUAUCUAUUACAUUAUACGGAAUAUUAGUUGGCAAUCUUUACGAAGUGUCAUAUCUAACAGAGUUUAUCAGCAUACACCCACGUCUGUGUCUGUACACGACUAUUUCGGUAGCGCACUUCAUGCCCGCAGCAGCGCCGUGGUGGAUGUAGGCUGACAGACUCUACUCGCCGUAUUUGGGGGUUUUAUGGGAGCUCUUAACCAAACUACAAUCCUUACUAAAGAAGCGAAAGUUGUCAAUUUCUCCACGAAUUGUCAGGAUACCAACAUUCAACUUAUUGUGACAAGACUCUCCAACGAAACAACAUCUGUAAACAACACCUAUAACCACACUCAGUAUCAGACCACCUAUAAAACUACCCAAUAUGAGAGAGAAAGUAGUGGGAAAACCUAUGUGGUUAUCAUACUCCUAGCACUAUACCUCAUCGUACCUAUGGUCCUGGUUUGGUGGUUUUACAGAAGACAGCAGAAAAUGGAGAAGAACGUGGAACAGAGUCACCAAUUAGGUUCAUGUACUACUUUUGCGGCUGUUGAGUUCUCAUCAACAAAGAACAAGAUGGAUUGGAAUGCAUUACAGUAUGCCGCAAAGAAUGGAAACAAAAACAUUUUGCAAUUCCUAGUUGAAGGAAAGUUUGUGUUUGCUAUCGAACGGAGGAUUUGAAAUAUUCGUUUCAUACAGCAUGCGAAAAUGGAAAUAUAGAAGCUUGCAAAUACAUAGCAGACAAUAGUAAAGAAAUCCCCUUUGAGCAUUUUUGUUUUAAAUUGUAGUGCAAAUAAAUUGACACUGUCCCCUCCACAAUUACUUUUAACAGUAGUUGUAGAUGAAAAGAAUAUAAGCUUGGAAGUUGUUAAUAAAAAUAUUUCGCCAACCCUAUCCCCAAGUGAACAUAUCAAUGUAUAACCUCAAAAUCAAGAUUAGCUUCAUACCUUCAUAUUGCUACAGGAAGUUAGGUAUAUGAAUAGCUUUUAAUUGCAGUGUUUGCAAAAAAAUUAUUGACAGUUUUUUUUAGCAGUGCUUCAUUUAGUAUCUGGACUACCCUGUUUUUGAGUUUCCACUCCAAAUCCUUAAAUUUUCCCAAUUUCUUAUUAUAUGGUUAUGUUUAAGCAUGUUAUUAUUAUUAAUUUUAUAUUCUGCAUAUAUUCUAAAGAUUAUUGUAAAAGAUAUAUGCAAAAAUUCUAUCAAAUUAUUUUUUUAAUUGAAAAUCGGAAUGAUCUUGAAAAAUUCACAAAUUUCGAUAAGGGGGAUAAUUCAAAGCUUAUUAUCUCCCUUGUAUACUUAGAAAGUGGCCAUAAAAUUUAUAAACAUUGUAAAGGACAUUCUGAUGAUGCUUCAUUUAAAAAAGAAAAAUAUUUAUUGACUAGUUAUUUUUGGCCACAUCGUCCCGCAUGUCCUUAAGUUCUAACAGCUCAACAUCAAAAGACAGCCUGUGGCGUGUACAAAGACCAAUGAAGAUGGAACCAAAGCCCCUUAAGGAGUGGAAUUUUGGCCUCUGCUUAUUUAAAUGAGGGAAGCUUUGACCAAACUGAGUGAGGAAUGGGAGGUGGAGUUCAGGAAGAGGAAAAGAAUCAACGUUGAUAUAUGUCAUCUUGAUCAAAGGUGUUUUCACCUGGCCAACUCCAUGUAGCAGUUAAAGCUGCUAAAAGAGUUGUUUCCCAAAACUGGCAUGACUCAGAUGUGGAAUAUCCUCGACGAGGCUCCUAACAGGUGAGAAUCCUGUAGAAAAAAGAUGAUAGCUCUGGUCUUAUCUGAAGAGAAAGUCUGUCUACAAUGUGAACAGGACAGAUUUUGAUGAACAAAGCUGCUUGAUUUCUAAACAAAAUGCAAGGCGAAGACAACGAACAGCGAUCAAUCCAACAACUCACACAAGCAAUACAAAACAGACAGCUGGGCAAACACGGACCCCUGGACACACCAGAGGUGGAAUCAGGCGCCCAGGAGGAGCAAGCAUCCCCCGCCGACCGGCCACACCCGCCGCGAGACCCACAUCCCGAUCAGGCAAACGGAGCCAUCCGCAGUCAAAACCAGUGCACCAAGAACGGCUCAACAAUCGGCACGAAACACGCCAGACAGCACCUGACCCAACGCGAGGUCGUACUGACGAACUAGAUCGCCACAACGACUACAGAAUUCGCGAAACACCGACCUCAAUCGAAACCGUUGAAGUCCCUGUACCAUCAACUUGUUUGUCAGUAGCUUACCUCGUUUUAAAAACUGACUAUACCCAGAACAAGCUCUUGCAUAUCGAAUUAGUUGAGAUAUAUAAGCACCAUAUGCAGGUGAUAAUGGAAUAUUGCUACAUAAAUGUGGGAAGUUGACGAUGGAGAAGCUGAAAUCAUCCCGUUUGUCAUACAGUUGAGUUGUCAGUUUGCCGUUAAUGUCUACUUUCAAUAAAAUAUCUAAGUAUGAAGCAGAAGUUAAUCGACUAAAACGAUAAACAAAUUCACCUGGUUUUGGGAUACUUUAUGCAUGUGUAUCAUUAAAAUUGUAGAUAAAGUAUGUGUGUUGCAUAAUGAAAAAUCAAAUAAUACUACUUAAGUUGAAUUUUUUCAGUUUAAAAUUCUAAAUUAAUCACUUACUUGAAUUACUGUCUUAUGAUAAAAAAAAAUUAUUAUUAUUAUACGCCGGUUUCGAGAUACACCCGAGUUAUUUCCCUUUGGAGAACUCUCGUAUAUAGUGAGGCGCGAAACAAUUUGUUUACACGCGGGAGUGGGACUAAUAUUCAUCACUGCGUAAGUGAAUGUACUCAGUAAGUUUCUCAUACACUCUUAGAUCACCCGAAUUCGACUGAUACACAAACUAAGUAAGUUAUAAGUAUUUAGGAAGUAAUUAAAUACAUAGAAUUCUUAUCAUAUCACGUUAUUUCAUUGGUCAUAAGUACCAUAUCUAAGACAUUACUUGCAAAUAUGACAUUGUUUUUAUGUUUCCACUUAAAUAAAACAUUUUUUUCGAUAGUAUAUUGUAUUUCCCACAUUUGCAUAUUAAAAGAGAAGCCGCUUUUAAUACAUUUUGUCAUCUUCCUCGCUGACUGUAGGUCCACUCUGUCCCACUUCGUCAUUCAAAGUUUCACUAAAUGCACCUCCUACACAGAAGAGUUCGUAUCUCAAAACUGGCGUAUUAGACGCUAAUUUUAUCAUGAUAUUUUAUAAAUACGUGCAUAUAUAUAGUUAUAUACAUGUAUUAAGCAUUGAAUUAAAUCUUUUUUAUAAAU
This is a long non-coding RNA of Ostrea edulis (European flat oyster), 4358 nucleotides long. RefSeq lists it as uncharacterized. The record is from RefSeq and is a predicted model, not a curated record. The transcript has 6 exons. NCBI's taxonomy places the organism in Eukaryota, Metazoa, Mollusca, Bivalvia, Ostreida, Ostreidae.